RNAcentral lists this ribosomal RNA (463 nucleotides) under uncultured bacterium. Its description in RNAcentral is "partial 16S ribosomal RNA". It matches the Rfam family "Bacterial small subunit ribosomal RNA", at positions 355 to 812 of the family's 1533-position model. The record is from RNAcentral.
UGGGGAAUAUUGCACAAUGGGCGCAAGCCUGAUGCAGCCAUGCCGCGUGUGUGAAGAAGGCCUUCGGGUUGUAAAGCACUUUCAGCGAGGAGGAAGGUGGUGAACUUAAUACGUUCAUCAAUUGACGUUACUCGCAGAAGAAGCACCGGCUAACUCCGUGCCAGCAGCCGCGGUAAUACGGAGGGUGCAAGCGUUAAUCGGAAUUACUGGGCGUAAAGCGCACGCAGGCGGUUUGUUAAGUCAGAUGUGAAAUCCCCGGGCUCAACCUGGGAACUGCAUUUGAAACUGGCAAGCUAGAGUCUCGUAGAGGGGGGUAGAAUUCCAGGUGUAGCGGUGAAAUGCGUAGAGAUCUGGAGGAAUACCGGUGGCGAAGGCGGCCCCCUGGANGAAGACUGACGCUCAGGUGCGAAAGCGUGGGGAGCAAACAGAUUAGNUACCCUGGUAGUCACGCUGUAAACGAUGU